RNAcentral lists this ribosomal RNA (252 nucleotides) under uncultured bacterium. RNAcentral describes it as "partial 16S ribosomal RNA". It matches the Rfam family "Bacterial small subunit ribosomal RNA", at positions 524 to 775 of the family's 1533-position model. The record is from RNAcentral.
UACAGAGGGUGCGAGCGUUGUCCGGAAUCACUGGGCGUAAAGGGCGCGUAGGUGGCGGGACAAGCGUGCGGUGAAAGCUCGGGGCUCAACCCCGCGUCGGCCGUGCGAACUGUUUUGCUUGAGCACUGUAGAGGCAGGCGGAAUUCCGGGUGUAGCGGUGGAAUGCGUAGAGAUCCGGAAGAACACCGGUGGCGAAGGCGGCCUGCUGGGCAGUAGCUGACACUGAGGCGCGACAGCGUGGGGAGCAACAGG